GAUGAACGCUAGCGGCAGGCCUAACACAUGCAAGUCGAGGGGCAACGAGAUGGUAGCGAUACCAUUGUCGGCGACCGGCGAACGGGUGCGUAACGCGUGAACAACUUGCCGGACACAGGGGGAUAAUCGUCGCGCAAACGUCGUCUAAUAUCCCAUAACAUUGACAUGGGCAUCCAUGUUGAUUGAAAGCAAUUAUGCGGUGUCUGAUAGGUUCGCGUGACAUUAGCUAGUCGGUGGGGCAACGGCCCACCGAGGCGACGAUGUCUAGGGGUUCUGAGAGGAAGGCCCCCCACACUGGGACUGAGACACGGCCCAGACUCCUACGGGAGGCAGCAGUGAGGGAUAUUGGACAAUGGGCGGAAGCCUGAUCCAGCCAUGCCGCGUGAAGGACUAAGGCCCUAUGGGUCGUAAACUUCUUUUGACGCAGAGCAAUAAGGGACACGUGUGUUCCGAUGAGAGUAUGCGUCGAAUAAGCAUCGGCUAACUCCGUGCCAGCAGCCGCGGUAAUACGGAGGAUGCGAGCGUUAUCCGGAUUUAUUGGGUUUAAAGGGUGCGUAGGCUGUCGGUUAAGUCAGCGGUGAAAUCAGCACGCUUAACGUGUUGUUUGCCGUUGAAACUGUCCGUCUUGAAUGCGCUCGUCGUGGGAGGAAUGUGUGGUGUAGCGGUGAAAUGCAUAGAUAUCACACAGAACACCGAUUGCGAAGGCAUCUCACGAGAGCGUUAUUGACGCUGAUGCACGAAAGCGCGGGUAUCGAACAGGAUUAGAUACCCUGGUAGUCCGCGCCGUAAACGAUGAUGACUAACUGUUGGUUCCAAUGGGAUCAGUGGUCAAGCGAAAGCGUUAAGUCAUCCACCUGGGGAGUACGGCCGCAAGGCUGAAACUCAAAGGAAUUGACGGGGGCCCGCACAAGCGGAGGAACAUGUGGUUUAAUUCGAUGAUACGCGAGGAACCUUACCCGGGCUCGAACGGCGGAUGAAUAUGUUUGAGAGAGCAUAGUCGCAAGACAUCCGUCGAGGUGCUGCAUGGGUGUCGUCAGCUCGUGCCGUGAGGUGUCGGCUAAAGUGCCAUAACGAGCGCCACCCUGCCCGUCAGUUG
Molecule: ribosomal RNA, 1096 nt
Filed under: Bacteroidetes bacterium oral taxon 365
Lineage: Bacteria; Pseudomonadati; Bacteroidota
Description: bacterial SSU rRNA
Rfam family: Bacterial small subunit ribosomal RNA
Source: RNAcentral